UACGGGGGGGGCAAGCGUUGUUCGGAAUUACUGGGCGUAAAGGGCUUGUAGGUGGCCAACUAAGUCAGACGUGAAAUCCCUCGGCUUAACCGGGGAACUGCGCCUGAUACUGGAUGGCUGGAGUGUGGGAGAGGGAUGCGGAAUUCCAGGUGUAGCGGUGAAAUGCGUAGAUAUCUGGAGGAACACCGGUGGCGAAGGCGGCAUCCUGGACCAUUACUGACACUGAAAAGCGAAAGCCAGGGGAGCAAACAGG
This 253-nucleotide ribosomal RNA is filed under the name uncultured bacterium. Its description in RNAcentral is "partial 16S ribosomal RNA". It matches the Rfam family "Bacterial small subunit ribosomal RNA", at positions 524 to 776 of the family's 1533-position model. The record is from RNAcentral.